Molecule: long non-coding RNA, 745 nt
Organism: Pteronotus mesoamericanus
Lineage: Eukaryota; Metazoa; Chordata; Mammalia; Chiroptera; Mormoopidae
Exons: 2
Source: RefSeq, a predicted model, not a curated record
GCCUCCGCCGGAAGCGGAAAUACCCGCCCUCUCUUCCAAAAUGGCGGCCCCCAUGAUUCAAUUCUACGCAAGAUGGCGGUGCCACGUAGUGCAUAGGGCGAGGUGAAAUGACAAGAUUUCAAGUCCUCUCGCAACGCAACAUAAUUUUGUAACGCAUGCAAAUACAUUGUGGAAACAACACUACCGUGUUUUAAAUACCUCCUCGAACGCUGAUAUGGACGUGAGGUCUAAGAAGCGGAAGAGGGAGUAUACCAAGCAAGUUCUACUGAGGACCGCAUAUCCUCGGCCUAUCACCUUGGUGGCUCAGUUGGUAACGAUGGGCAAUACGAAAAAUAAGAUCUGGAGACCUAGACUGCGACCACAAUAGAUGCCUUUGCCCUAGAGCCCAGUCCACCAAAUCCAAGCUGGUGAUGCCAGUGGAGGAGAGGGAGAAAUGGAACAUCGUGGACUUUCUGGACAAUCAGACCCUGCAGGAUUCGGGCUUUACACUUACAGUUUUCCUCCACGCACUGCCUGGCCUCUCUCAGAGGGGAAGACAAUAGGCUACAAUGCCACUGUGGGACAGUCCUGAGCCAAGAGAGGGGUCUCCUCAACCCUGGGGACCACUUUUGAGUGUAGCUAGGAGCAGGGACAGGGUUGAGGCAUCCUUUCUCGCUCAGAUCCAGCUGGAGUUGAGCCUUACCCACACCUGCCUUUCUCAGGCCCAUGUGGUUCCCUGCUAGGCAUACCAGCUCCCACCUGGCCC